Long non-coding RNA from Ricinus communis (castor bean), 1325 nucleotides. RefSeq lists it as uncharacterized. Lineage: Eukaryota; Viridiplantae; Streptophyta; Magnoliopsida; Malpighiales; Euphorbiaceae. The transcript is spliced from 4 exons. The record is from RefSeq and is a predicted model, not a curated record.
UACUUGAGGUUACCAUAAGUUAGUGCAUACUUGGAUUCUAUAGGAACAGACUUUGUACAUGGGGCGAACUUUGCAAGUGCAGGAUCAUCUAUUAGGCCUGGUAACAGGAGUCCUUUCUUUCUUGCCCUUUAAGUCUCUCAAUUCGUGCAAUUCAAAGCUAAUAACUCGAGGAAUCGUGGUGGCCUCCCAAGUCCUAAAGAUUUUUCGAAGUCAUUGUACACAUUCGAUAUCAGACAAUGAUCUGGUGUUUGGUUUUCUAAACACCACGGAAGAUCAAGUUAAAUUAACAUUUCCUGACAUUCUAUAUCAGUUCAGUCAGGCAGUACAAACUUUAUAGUGAAGGAGCAAGAGCCUUUUUGGUGCAUAGCGUAGGGCCAAUUGGCUGCGAUCCCGUUGUGGCUGCGAUCCCGUUGUAGCUGCAUUAUUCCCUCCCAAGAAUGCUACUCAUGACAAGAACCACUGUGCAGUGGCACAGAAUGAAGUGGUCCAAGAGUUCAAUAUGCAACUCAAAGACACAGUCGUGCAGUUGAGAAAGCAACUUCCACAAGCUGCCAUUACCUAUGUGGAUGUUUAUAAAGUUAAAUUUUUUGCUAAUUGAUGAUGCUAGAAAUCAAGAUUUGAGGAUUCAUGGAACUUCUGCUGUGGCAUUCUUGAACCGAAUCUAGUCCUCUUUUGUGGGACUAGAUCCGACGAUAACAAUAACACUAGUGUUGCAACUGCUUGUGCUGAUCCUUCGGAACCUAUUAGCUGGGAUGGCAUACACUUCAGUGAGGCAGCUAACCAGUGGGUUUUGAAAAGGAUGUUUGACGGAUCAGUUUCCCACACGCCUGUUCCUCUGAACCAAGCUUGUGCUUGGACUAAGAAAGCAUAGUAAGUGCUUGUGCUUGACAGUUAGAAUUGGAACUUGCAUUCCAAAAGAGUGCUUAUUGUAUGCAAGUAACUGAAGAUUGUUAAAAUGUACCUAUAGCUAAAGAGAGGACUACAGAAUAAGAACUCUCAGGGAGCAGAUGUAUGGUCUUGCAUGUACAAUAAUGCAAGUGAAGCCGAAUAAGUAAAUCCAAAAUGCAGGGAGCUUCACUUUGGGCUAGUAUUCUAAGUAAAAUUUUCACCUACCCUUUUGUUUUUAAUUCACAAUCCUUUCUGCUGUAUUAACUUUUUCCUCAAAAUCUUCAGUUCUCAUUUUCACUAUAAACGCAUUGCUCAAAACUUUAGUCCUGCAUCACUUGAUUAGACUAAGACUUUUUAGAAUGCACAGUAUGGCCAGGAUCACCAGAUAGGUACACUUACUUGAAUAUGAGGAAUAAGACCAGAAGAAAGGUUCUUAU